GUCGGAGGUGUAUCAUGCUAUAAUGAGUGUCGAGUGAAACUCGUGAAAGUGUUUUGCACUUGUUUUGGUCAUUGUGGUUCUUGAAAGAAUAUUUCUUUUCUUUUCUUCCCCUUCUUGGUGUGCCAAACUGUUGCAAUUGAUCUUCGGUGAGAUAAUCGGUAGAGAGCCGAGUUGUUGCGUCUUGGUGUUGAACUACAGGAAACCUGCAAAAUAAGUCCACUUGCCGAAAGUUGUCCGGUCUAAUGCUUAAGUUAGCUAGAGAAAGGGAACAACCUUAGAGAGAGAGAGCCAAAAGUGAGAGCAAAAGCUUAUAAUAAGAAAACUUACCAGGUCUUCC
RNAcentral lists this long non-coding RNA (337 nucleotides) under Elaeis guineensis (African oil palm). Its description in RNAcentral is "long non-coding RNA (EGUI_LNC028536)". Lineage: Eukaryota; Viridiplantae; Streptophyta; Magnoliopsida; Arecales; Arecaceae. The record is from RNAcentral.